GUACCCAUGCUGCCCACCUCUGGUCACAGCUGUAGCCAUCAUUGGCAUCUGGGGUCCCCACUGCCUGGCCUGCCCUGGCCAUCAAAGCAUUGCCCAUUUGCACCCAUGUGCAUGCACAGUGCCAAUGUAUGGCUCUUAUGGUGAUUUCUUUGACUCUUUUUGGUCAAUGACAUGGUGCUGUCAUUAAAAAAUAAAUGUACCCAGAGCUUUCAGUCUGAGAAUAGUUGCUUAAGAAUUGGUUUCCCAAGCUGGAGGGAAGGUAACCCAGGCUCAGUUGAGAAGUAGUUGGAAAGUAGGUGUCUAACUUCUCGCUCGUUACUCUCAUUUUGAUGACUCUAGAAGAAAGGUGUGCAGGAUGGGAUCAACUGCUACUCAGUCACUCAUUACAAGAUGCAAAAAAGAGACUUGAGAGUUUUGGGGCCUUAGUAUUUCAAUGCUAAUUUCAGAGACAUCUUAAUGUAGUCUGCACGUGUCACUGUUCAGGUAACACGUGUUUAUUCAGUUUCUCUUCAUUCCUGGAAGAGAAACUGCAUGAUGGGAGAAUUUCUUAAAACUUUGAGCUGUAACUUUAUCUCUGCAUCACCAUGAGUGUCACCUUUUUCAUUCGUCAUCAUCUUCAUUAUCUUGGGGACUGUGGCUGCCAAGGUAACCAGGUUAAUGGUUCCUAAUGGUAUCAUCAGUCACCCACUCACUGUUCACUCUGACCUCUGAUCUAAUCGUGAGCCCCUUUCUGUAAUAUCUGUGUCACAUUUUUGGCUUAAAUCUUUAAAGUAAUGUACUGAUUACAGCAGCAAUUCCUAUUUAUUACUCACUCAUUCACACAAGAACCUGAAUUCUUUAAAUGUCUCAUAUUUUAACAAUGACAUAGAUUUCCUUCUGAAGAAUUUAGGUGGCUGUUUGACUUUUUUUUUUAACUUGCUGAGAAGGUAAAGCAUUGUGCUUUUAAUUGCUGAUGGGUACUUGACACAUGAUGAAGUGUGAGAUCAUCACUGUGGCUGUAUUUGCAACUUCCAUGUGACCGAUGACUUUCCUUGAUAUUGAGCACUAGUAAUAAUCAGGGUACAUAGUUAAGAUCAGCUUUAGGAUCAGCUUUAGGAAUAUCAAGUCUAGGAAAGUUCCAUUUCUGAGCCACAGACUCUAUCCUAUAGAAGGGGAUAGUGGGCACAUAUGAGGAGACUAUUUCCUUCCACUAUGAGACUCCUUUGGGGACUAAAACAGGGUGUUAGUAAGUGAUAGGUCUCAAAAGUAUUAAAUUCCUGUUUUCUAACGUGUUUGCUCCUUCUCUGAUGCUUUUGUAAGACGGAUCUUCAUUCUUGAGCUCAUUCAGGUAUUUACCAAAAUCUUCAGUGUACUUUUCUAGGUUCUAUGACAGGUACAAACACCCACUUUGAGCUUCAAGGAUGUAAAAAUGAGAAUUGUGAAAUCUUCCUACAAUUUUUUCCUUAAUGCACUACCAUAAUGAUACUCUAUUUAUACUUAUUUACUUUGUGGAAACCAGUUAUAAGCAGAAGUGCCCAUUGCAUUGUUGAAUUUAAUCACAGACAUUUAGAGAUGGGAGGAGACUUAAACAUUCUCUCAAUGUUUAAGAAAAGGAAGUUAUGUUGAUAGUUCCUAGAAGAUGCUUAAGGAAAGAUGACAUCACAAUGUUUCCUGGCGUUUUUGGGUGCCUUUAGGCUGGACACAUCUUACUUAGCCAAGCUGUCUCCUUUCAUACUCUAAUGUAAGAUUCUAACACUUAAUAUUGCAGCUUCCUUCACUGUCUCACACACCUGCAUCCUGCAUUUAUGACCUUCUUGAUACUGCUUCCCUCUUGAAAUUUCCCUUCUCCCCCUUUCCACCCAUCUAAAUCCUAAUUCUCUUUCACUUCAUGUCCUUAAUGUAAGAUUCACAUUGAAGAAGCUUUCUCUGGGUAUUUAGCCUUCAUUAUGCAUUUAAAUGGGAACAUAACUUAAUCUAACAAAUAAUUAUUAAACCUGCUGUAUUUUAACCUGUAUCAGGUCUGAAGGACUAUAAAAAGAGGGAAAGAAAUAGAAAGACUUAAUUAGCACACAGGAACUACUUGUGUAAUUAAUCAAGUUCUCUUUGCUUUCAUGGACUUUAUGAUCUAGUUGAGGAGACUAUGUAUAAUAGGACAUAACAGCUGGAAACAGAUAUAACACUUGGAAGUCCCCUAGCUCACGGGCCAUUUGAUGUCUUCAUCACUUUUCAUAUAUUAUUCUUGUAAUCUGGAAUGUCCCCUAUACUUCUCAACUGAAGAAGCCUUUUCUGGAACCUCAAAUGACAAAACAAUGGAUUUCUUUGCUACUCAGGGUUCCCAAAACUAUUGUUAUUGUGUUGACACAUUUGGUUUUUCCUCUAGACUGUGAGCUUCUUGUGGGCAGGAUCAUGUCUUAUUCAUCCUUAUAACCACAGUACUGUGCAAAAGUGCUGGGGGCAUUGUAGGUGUUCAACAAAUAUUUGUUGAUGGAGGAAAUAAAUUAAUACUAAAAUGAGGAAGCAUAAAAUAAACACUUUAUGAGAUUAAUGUAGAAUAGUAUGCCUUUAUGAAGGGCUGGGAAUUGAGCUGGACUUUAAAGAAAGCCAGGAUUUAAAUGAAUGAUUUUGUUAAUAGUAAUUAGUGGCUAACAUUUAUUUUGCACUCAUAAUGUGCCAGGCACUGUUCUACCUGGCUUUCCCUGUACCAAAACAUUUAUUCUUGCCCUAAAUCCUAUGAGGUAUUUUCUAUGAUUAUUCCCAUUUUCUGUGGGGAAACUGAAACAUAGAACAGAUACAGCAACUUGUCUGUGGUCACACAGCUAGUAAGCGAGUAAAUCCAGACACUCUUUCUCCAGGGUUCAUGUCUUACCAGUGCUAUGUUGUGUCAGGAAGGAGACACAUGCAAAUAAAGAAAUUAAACCAGGCAUAUUGUUUUAUGUUCUUGGAACCAAUAGCCAGUCUGAAUGUGUGGAGAUCUGGAAAGGUAGGGUACAAUCAGGUUGAACAAAGGACUGAAUAUUAAUAACAGAUGUUCACACUUCAUUUUAAGGCAUUGUGAAGAAGAUGAAAGUUUUUGGAAGCAUAAGGGUCUAGAAUAUGU
Molecule: long non-coding RNA, 3076 nt
Organism: Phyllostomus discolor (pale spear-nosed bat)
Lineage: Eukaryota; Metazoa; Chordata; Mammalia; Chiroptera; Phyllostomidae
Exons: 2
Source: RefSeq, a predicted model, not a curated record